RNAcentral lists this ribosomal RNA (253 nucleotides) under uncultured bacterium. RNAcentral describes it as "partial 16S ribosomal RNA". It matches the Rfam family "Bacterial small subunit ribosomal RNA", at positions 524 to 776 of the family's 1533-position model. The record is from RNAcentral.
UACGAAGGGGGCUAGCGUUGCUCGGAAUCACUGGGCGUAAAGGGUGCGUAGGUGGCGCCGUAAGUCAGGUGUGAAAUCUCGGGGCUCAACCCCGAAACUGCACUUGAUACUGCGGUGCUCGAGUACUGGAGAGGAGAUUGGAAUUUACGGUGUAGCAGUGAAAUGCGUAGAUAUCGUAAGGAAGACCAGUGGCGAAGGCGAAUCUCUGGACAGUUACUGACACUGAGGCACGAAGGCCAGGGGAGCAAACGGG